Molecule: transfer RNA, 71 nt
Filed under: Marmota marmota marmota (Alpine marmot)
Lineage: Eukaryota; Metazoa; Chordata; Mammalia; Rodentia; Sciuridae
Also listed under: 3 other names
Rfam family: tRNA
About the family: Transfer RNA (tRNA) molecules are approximately 80 nucleotides in length. Their secondary structure includes four short double-helical elements and three loops (D, anti-codon, and T loops).
Source: Rfam by way of RNAcentral
GGGGGUGUUGCUCAAUGGUAGAGCACUUGCUUAGCAUGUGUGAGGCCCUGGGUUCUACCCCAGCACCCCAU